GGCGGGCUGAGCAUCGGCUUUUGGUAGCCUCACAGGAGACAGAGGGAGCGGGGAGGACCCGGAGGAUGCUGCGGAGGAUGCGAAGUUUGUGCUGGCUGCUGCUCCCCCUGGUUGCGGGAAUCCAUCCAGAAUGCAAGAUAUUCCAGCAAGUAGUGAAAGAGGAGGCACUCUGCCUAGAAAAGAAUGAAUCUGUUUCAUCUGAUUUUAAAGGUAACGGUCUUGAUUGACAAGUUCUGAUAUUAGUAUCUCUUGAAUCACUUCAGGUUUGUGAUGUGAAGAUACCAGUUACUGAAUCAAAAUUUGAUUCCACAACCCUAUUUUAUUUGGCUUGAAGUGUUUCUCCUUCUAUUGGAUGCAGCUUUACCUCAUCUGAUUUUAGACGUCUGUAAAUGCUCAAUGUCUAAGUCAGGAUAUGUCUUCUUAGAUUCCCUUAAAGUAAAUGUAGAAAGGUGGGUGUCCUUAGAAAAAUUUUCAUUGCCUUUGCCUUAGAUGCUUACUUUAGGAUGA
Molecule: long non-coding RNA, 507 nt
Filed under: Cairina moschata (Muscovy duck)
Lineage: Eukaryota; Metazoa; Chordata; Aves; Anseriformes; Anatidae
Description: domestica (muscovy Duck (domestic type)) lncRNA (ENSCMMG00000002962.1)
Source: RNAcentral